Molecule: long non-coding RNA, 11582 nt
Filed under: Cricetulus griseus (Chinese hamster)
Lineage: Eukaryota; Metazoa; Chordata; Mammalia; Rodentia; Cricetidae
Description: lncRNA (ENSCGRG00015034902.1)
Source: RNAcentral
UGUGUGUAUCCCAGGAGAAUUAUUGUUAGAAAAGUAGAUGAUAGUUAGUACAAGAUCAUAUUUGCAUUGGUUUACUCUGUUAUUUCUAUGACAGAAUAACUAAGAUUGUGUCAUUUAUAGGAGCAGAGAUUUGUUUUCUUCAGUUCUGAAUUCUGGGAAACCUAGAGUCAGUGGGGGCAGAAUCUGGUAAGGCCUUCCGUUGUGUUUUCCUGUGUAGAAGGCAAAACAAGAGAGCAUACAUGAGAGAGGAUGAAGGGGGAAGGAAAAGGCAAGGGAGAGAAGAAAGGAGGAGAGGAAACAGAAGAGGGAGAGAGAUUCAUUCUUCAGUCAAGAACUUAGUCCAGUGAUAGCGAAUCCACUCCUGAGUAACUCCUAAGAGUGGAGCUCUCAUAACCUAACCACACUUCAAAGACAUAUCACUCAGUGCUUUUGCACUGGGGGUUAAUUUCCCAGCUGAUGGAUUCUGGGGGCAUGUUCAAACCACAGCAGCGUGAAGAGCUUAGAGGUGAAACAGGGUACCCCAGGAACACUGAGAUGUAUACUUUAAUGCACUUUUGAAGGACAUUUUGUAGCCUCCAUACUCACUCUGUGCUUUCUGGACAUCACUUAGGAAUUCGCAAGUGACGCACAGCCUCAGGCCUCACUCUGUAUCCACUGAAACAGAAUCUGCUUUUAAACAAGAUCCCCGAUGACAGCCGAAGUUUAGGACGUAGGUGGUUUUAGUUGAAAAGAAUAACAAAACCAUUAAAGCUAUUUAGAACUCAUAAUACAAUUUCUAGGCCAAUGAAUAAAAGUAUUAUAAAGCAUUUAUUAUGUGAUAAUGCAGCCUGGAGGUAAGGUAGAUCAACUCCCAGCCAGUCAUGUGUUUGUUGAGUCUCUGUAAUCUCAAAUCAGACAUAAUGCCUCUAAUGAAUCUAAUCCACCUUGUAUGGUUCCUAGCAAUUGUGCCUGGCUCAUAAAACUACACACAGCUCUGGGAAGCAGUCUGUUUGUGAGAAAAGCCUAUAUUAUAUAAAAAUUAAGUCCUUUAUCUUUAAUAAACCUGAGGCACAAUAACGUUCAUUAUGUUCCAACUCAAUGAAGGAGAAAGCCACAAGGAGACACAUGAUGGGCUUGACACUGGGAAAUGUAUUUAAAGUAGUGUGACUGUGGCAACGUGUAUUAGAAGCAGCCAAUUAGGACGAAGCCAAUGAACACAGAAAGAUAUACACAUCUUAUUACUUGUGAAUUUCCAUCACACAUGCCGUUAUUUCUUCUGCUGUAAUUAUACUAUGAAAUAUCUCCCAAAACGUUUGGGAUUUGAAAUAUGCUUGUGACUAGGACUGUUUUAUGGGUGAUAUGCACUGUGGUAGGGGAGCUAAAUCAUACAGGGCUGGAGCUGCCUGUUAGAUGUUAAUGGGGUUCUCAGCAUGCUGAAGGACAUUUGUUUAUGUAACGUUAUUGAUGUAUCAUUUCUGAGUUGACCAAUAACUGGUACUGAGAAAAUUAACUUAUGGGAUUAUGCAAGUACUGUACAGUUGGCUCAGGUGUCUGUAUGCUAAAGCUUUUGAAAUAGAGCUCAUCUGAGUGUGCGUGAGCAGCACGCCCAAGGUUCUGACUUUAGACUAAUUCAGUCAGUCAGGCUUCAGAGUCCAGCUCUGCAGCAAGUAGGCAUCGUGAGGCAAAUGAGAUCCUUUGCUCUGGAGUUUCAUCCUUUGUCCUGCAGAAGAUGACUUGGCAUAGUAGGCAUCAAGCCGGUCCAGGUCAACUCAGUCAGAGGUGCUUGUUCGAAGCAGACCCAGUAAAGUGAGUCAGUCUUCUUCUGAAGUAAAAGACCCACCAAAGCGCAGGAAGACCUUAGAGAUGAGGCAGAUUGCUCAUUUGAGGAAGCGAUUCUUGUCGUUUAGGAGGGUAACCUGGAAAGGCAGAAGUGCCCAUGCGAUGUGACGCUGAGGACAAGGAUGACGAUCGGUUCAGCUGCAGCCUUGGGUGGUGGGUGACUGGUGCGCAGCCUCCAUUGCUGCCCCACCCUCAGCCCCCAGUGUUGCUGGGACUUGAAGUCAUGGAUGCGCACUGGCUUCAUCUGGUAGGGAUAAGGCGGUUAACAGAGAAGAAGGUGUGGUGUCUUAUUAACAGAUCCCUCAGCUGAACGAAAACCCAGGAUCUGAAAAUAAAUAGCAAACAAGAAAGCAGCGACAUUGCUUUAUUGCUCAACUGUCUGCGAACUAAGAAUGACAGUAUUUAAAUCUGUUCACCAAUAUAACACUUAUGAAAAACAUACAUAAAAUAUCUCACUUCAAAUCAAUUCAUAUGUUUUAAAGCUGCUUUCUUCAAAGUUCUACUUAAAAAAAUCUAGCCAUUUUGAAAGUUGCUUAUAUAUCACAAUUUUUGUUAUGUCUCUUGAAAAAUUUGCUCUUUACAAAGAAAUUGUAUAUGAAAUAUUUCUCUAAAAGUAUUUGAAAUGUGUAUUUUAAUGGUCACUGUGGAAAAAUAACCAUAAAUCAGCUUGUCUUAGCACCUCAUGUCUCAAGUUGUGGGUGUUGCUACAGAGUAUGUGGUGCAUGUUGUGUUUGUGUGUAUGUGUGUUCAUGUCUCUGUGUGUACAGUUGCACAGGGGUGAACACUAGAGUUCAGGUCUGUCUGAUUCGAUAGCCACUAGACACCCUACAACAAUGGGGGAUUUGUGGUGCAACUAAUUCAGCGAGAAAGACAUGAGAAGCACACACCAGCUUUUAAAGAGUCCGUAGAACACAAAGAAUACAAAAUACCAUAAUAAUAAUUUUAUGUCGGUCACGUCAAAUGGCAAAAUAUUGGAUCUAUUGUAUUAAAUAAAAUACAUUCCAGAAACUGAUCUCUCCUGCCUCUUCAUGUACCAAUUAAAAGCAUGGCUACCUAAAAAGUGUAAAAUUUCACAGAUACUUUACAGUUUGGGUCACAUUAAGAGAUACAGGACUAUAACACUCUAAAUCUUCUUAGCCAAUAAAGAGAAUUAUAGCUUACCACCCCCCCCUACACACUCAUAUAUAAAUUCUUCUUUUCCCUUUGAGACAAAGUCUUGUGCAACUCAGCCUUAUGUGGAACUCAUUGUUCCCCUUGCUCUUCCUUUUAGCUUCCAGGAUUAUAGGCAUGUACUACCAUAUUAGCUGGAAAAUUCUUUUGAAAAGAAAUUUGGGUGCUGGAAAGAUGGCUCAUUAGCUACAGCUAUUUGUUGCUCUUCCAGAGUACCUGAGUUUAGUUUUGAGAAUUCCCAGUGGUUAAGUCACAACCAUCUGUAACUCUAGACUAAGUAGAUAUGACACCCUAUUCUGGCCUCAGGUACUCACACACAUUUGAGAUAUGUAUAUGUUUGUAUGUAUGUAUGUAUGUAUGUAUGUAUGUAUGUAUGUAUGAAUGUGUGAAUGUAUAUAUCCAUCUAUCUACCUACCUAUCUGCACAUGGAGACUGACAGAAUUGGCUCACUAGCUUACAGAGUCUGAGAGGUCCCACAAAAUGCCAUCUGAAACUUUGGGAACCAGCAAAUCUGGUAGUGUAAUUUGUGGUGAACCCACAGUCCCAAGAAUCAGAGGGACUAAUGCUGUAAGGGGCUAAAGGCCUGAGAAUCUGGAAUGGUGACAGUAAAUGUCAUACAGCCGUCCCAGAUCUAUGAGUGAGAGAAUUCAUCUAUCUUCCAUAUUUUUAUUCAUUUUUUGGUGCCUAAACAUAUUAUAUGACCGCUGCUUACAUUAAUGAGGCUGGAUCUUUCUUACUCUACCUAUUGAAACACUAAUAGCCUCUGGAAACAGAUCCCCAAAUCAUGUUUUACUAGCUACCUGAGAAUCCCUUAGCUCAUUCUAGUUGAUAUACUUUUGACAGUAUAGUGACUCAAUCCAAUUCUACUGGAAAAACCAUACUGUAGGAAAACAGCAGCACACAUCUUCAAUGGUGCAUCCAUUGUGACCUUGGAAAUCCCACAAAGUUGUGUCAAUACAUGACUAUGUGAGAGUCUUGUACAGCUCUAUCGAGAGUUGGGGAGAUGGACACACAAUUCUAUCACUUGCUGAGAAACUGUUAGCAUUUGAUAGUUCCUGGGAGAGGGAGUUUUAGUAUUCUUUUGCAGUGUGAUCUCUGGAAGUCAACCACACACCCAGGAAGGCACCAAUCCCAACACCAACUGGGAAAUGCAAACUGGAACAAAAGAAGUCAUUUCAAAGUUGGGUGAGAGGAGGGGAGGAGGCAAAUACAUUCAAAACACAUUCUAUAAAAUUCUCUGAGAAUUAAUGAAAUAUUUAUUUUUUUGAGUUGAAAUAUUUUUUUAAAAGAGAGGUUCUUGCACAGAACUGAUUUAUACUUUCAAGUAUGUUGACAACAAAUGAACUUAAUAGAUGGAUAUUUUCUAAGUAGAGUUAGAGACCUUAAUUGAUUAGCAAUCUGUCUGACUGGGUCUCAAGCUCUUCUGUGUGUUCCCAAACAGAUUUCUACCUGGAAGUAAAGCAGGGUGAGGCCUGUAUUUGUUAAAUAAUAACAUAAACCUGUUUAUGUUGAUAAUUCUAUUCAAGUUACUGCAUAUAGAGUUUGUAUAGAUCAGACAGAGCUGACAGGACACACUGCUCCUGGUGGUGCAGCCAGUCAAGGCCCCGUGAAAGAGCUUAAACCCUAAUUCUACUUUUGCUCUAGCAGUAACAUUUUUGAGAUUGAAUGGCCUGGUGUUGUUUGGAAUUGCUUGGUUUUACUUUCUCUGGCAAAGAAAAUUUUAGAUGAUAUGUUGUUUAUAAAAUGGAUAUAUUAGAGGAUAAAUUUUCAUUUGAAUAUUUACCCUUCAAAAUAAGCAUAUUCAGGAUGAAAGCAGCUUUAGAGUAGGCCAAAUAAUUAACAUAGGAGAAUGUUCUGGAAGGAAGAAGUUUUGCCUUUGUGUUGGCUUACAGACCUUCUCUGAAUCCCUGACCUUUGUAUUAGGAAUUGGAAACCUUUGAUAUUUCAAUUUGUUGAGUCAAGUUUAAGGGGUAUCUGCCAUAACCUCAUUUUAUUAUUAACCACCAUGACCUCUAUAGAAAAAUGUUGAAACCACCUUCUGAAAUUCUAGGUUAUGGGUAAGGUUAAGUAUAGAUAAAAAGCAAAACGAAAAGGGCCAUUCAGCAUUCACCAAAUUUGCAGUCUCAGGGCUUGAGAGAGGGCCAAGAGAGAGCUAAGGCAAGUCUGUGCCAACUGGGCGACCAUGCUCAUUCAGUUAUACACUGGAGUUGACAUUUAAAAACAUUGAAAGAGAAGAUGAGAACAAUUAAUGAUUGACUACCUAAUAGGACUAGUUGACCCAGUGACUAAAUAACCAAUUGGAUUCAUUUCUGGAAGAAAUCCAGCAUUUGAUAAUUUUCUAAAACUUUUGCUAAGACUUGACUUUGUAAAGUAGGUCAUCCCUUGGACCCCUCAUGGACUAUGACUCCUUCCUAGAAGGAGCACUCUGGUCUGCAUGGCACAGGUGGUCUCCUCUAUGGACACAUGGGACCCCAUUAAAUGCCACAGACUCCCUUAUUUUGUCGUAUAACUACAGAGUGUCCCCCACAACUCAUGUGCUAGGGUUUUGGCACUAUUUUGGGCAUGCUGGAAGCUUUAGUAGGAGGGGCCUUGCUAGAAAGAGCAGGGUACCUUGGCAUAGCUUUGAAGGAUGUAGCUUCUGGGCUCCUUCCUCUUUUCUCUGCUUCCAGUCACCAUUAGGUGGGCAACCUUGUCCUCUACAAAUUUUUAUGACGUUCUGCCUUACCCGGGCACAGAGAUGGCACAGUCAUCCAACCACAGACUGAUACUUUCAAACAGUGAGUCCAGAUUAAUCUUUCCUACUUUUUUACCCUCAGAUAUUGAGUCACAGCAACAAGAAGUCUAGCUUCCACAUUUCCUGGUAUUUGUUUACUUCAGAGAAAACACUCUGUAUGUUGAGUCUCUUAGUCCAUGACAACCUGUUGAACAAAAUCUUUGUGUCUGGACAAGGUAGUCCAUGGUAAAACCAUAAAGGAAGUGUUUUUAACUUGUUAUCCUCUUUUUUUUUUUUUUAAUGCAGACUUGACACUGGCUACUUCCUAUGCCGGCUUCCUAGGGUACUCAAUCUGAAAGCCCCAACUUCUCACUGAGGAAUGAACGGCUGUCCUGCCAAGGGUGGCAUGCUGCAGGCCUUUCCCAUACACUUCUAUCCCUUUGAAAAACAGACCUGCUUGAUGUCAGAUGCUCAGUGCUCUUAAUCUUAGGUCAUAAUGAGUGGUUACCAUGCGCAGCAGGUGGGCAUUAGAUUGCUUAUAUUUUUUAUCUAAUUUGAAAAAAGAAUGUGUUAGCCAUGAAGCUGGAACAAAAAGAGUCUCAACGACCACAUAGAGAGGCCUUGGAGCCCUUUAUUUUACGCACCUUACACAAACGCCUGCACUGCAAACUCAAAACUCCUUUAGUUUUCUAUUUUUUUUCUUCUGAGAUCAAGUCUAAUGGGUCCCAGACUGGCCUCAAAGUCUCUAUGUAGAAUCCAAACCUUGACUCCUUGUCCUCUUGUCUCUAUCUUCAAAGCUCUGAUUUUACAGCAAAGGUGCCACCAUGUUUCCUUACCCUUAAAACAUUUUGGACAGUUACAGAUUAAAUACUAGGGGAGUUUUCAAAAGAAUAAUGAAAAAGAAGUAUAGUAGUCGCUACUUGCUCGUGGGGGUUACUUUCUAAGAAACCCCCUAGAUACCCACAAUCUUGGAAAGAACAAAAUCCUUUGUGUACUAUUUUCCCAUACACACAUUCAUAUGAUAAAAUUUAACCAUGAAUUUGGAAUAGGAACUCAUUAACAAUAAUAAUAGCAAAAGAGAAUAACUGAGAAAUAUAGUAGAACAAAUUUAAUAAGGUUGUUUUUCAUACACAUAGUCAAGGCGAACAUUAAUGUUUUUUCUUUUUUAGCUUGACUUUGACAGAGGAGAAGUGGCCACUCAUUAUUUUGUUUGUGUGGCAGAGUCUUCAGGACUGGCUGUGUCCUGGGGACUAUGCAUGACUUCCCUGUUAUUUCAGUUGAUUUUAAGAUAAGGGGAAAUCUACUUGAUUGAAAAGUCAGGACACAGAAAUCCCAGGAAGGGAUAUCUUUCCUAAUGUCAGAGAGCUGGUGACUAGUAAGAUAGGACGCAGACCCAGCUUUGUAUAUUUGGGUAGGGUGAGGCUGAUUUUUAAGAAGAUCAACAUCUUUAACUAUUUACUCUAAACAUGGGUCUUAAUUGCCACAUCUCCUCCACUCCCCCUUAUCAUCUACAUCUUUAAUUUGCGUUUAUGGCUAACUGAAAAUCCAACUUCUUGAAGGAAAAUGCAUGAUUAUCUUACUUAAAAAUUUCUUCAGGCUAAUGUCUCACUGGCCUAUAGGAAAAUAUUUCAGAAUGCUUAUCUUUAGCACAUUGCUUGCUUAUUUAAAAAGAAAAUGACUAUGUCUAGGUGCUUUGUCAUAUUUCUCUUCUGAAAUAUAUAAUGAUCUGCCUCCAUGUGGAUGCUCUGGAAAUGUGGAUCCCCAAAUACUUUGGAUCUCUCCCUUUCUCACACUAUUUUCCUCUAUCUGCUUUUCCGGGUGCCAUUUUAGCCUGAAAUAAAAAUGUAGUGGAGAUUGCAUCAUCUCCGAGGCCUUUUGGAAUAGAAAUAAUGUUUUCUGGUCUCUGGAGAGUUUAAAAGACACGAGUAAUUUUUUUUUCUUCUUCUUCUACUACAUUCAAGGCCAGAAAUAUGGAAGCAAACAGUCUAGAGUUGUGAAAAAUCGGUUGUAAAGGUGGAAAAAUCCUAGGGAGGUACAGAGUCUUUAAAAGGCAUGAGGGAAACAGUAUCCAAUUUAGAUCAACCUCCUGUCUCUUCUUUUUAUAUCCCUUCUGUGAACUCAGGAAAAUGAGCUUUGGAUUUAAUUGUAGUGUGGGUGUGUGCCUGUUUAGAUGUGCAAUGAGAGAUCUCCCCAAUUUUGUACAUCAGUAUUUCCUACAACACCCUGAAGGACUCAGUGCUUCCUGGAAUGUCCCAACCUGCUCCCUGGAAGCUCGCUUCCCCUAGUAGCCUCAGAUUCACCCGAUACUUACAGAGAAUGGUUUGAUUCCCCGCUGGUGCCCUAGGCACAACAAUGAAUUUUUCUCGGUGGGAGUGUCAAGACACAUGACUUUUGAAACUGUUGAGAAGGUAGGGAAGCUUUUAAAAACAUGCUUUUCUUUGGAAAGAAAACUCAAGAUCAGAGUCCACACCAUGUCUUAACACCUUUCCACCCACUCUCACUUCUGCUAGACCCUGAGAAGGUCUUUGGAUGCUUAGAGACAAAUUGACUGAAAUAAGCUCCAGGAUCUCUGUUGUCUCCCCGUAGCUGAAGCACUCACAGAUGGCAGAAGAGAAAGCCACACUGAUUUUCGGAUGCUUAUGUCCAAGGUGCUGUUCCUCUACUUCUGGAAUGAAUGUAAUGAACGAGAAGGUCUCCAGCCCUUUCCACUCUUCAUCCUGCUAUCCCUCAGGGUGGAAGUUUCGAGACAGAAGCCUCAUCCAGAAGUGCUCAGAAAUUAGGAAAGUCAUCAGGGUUAGUAAGAUGAAAUUGUUCUUCUCCCUGUUUAUGUUUCAGUGAACGUGACUGAUAGAAACUCACUCCUGACAGGGCCAGCAAAGAUGCUGUGUCAAAAAGCCAGCACAUGGUCCUCACUGGUCAUCUCAGGAAGAAGUUCAUACCAGGGCACUGCAGUGACUGGCUUUAUGUGGAUUCUGGAGAUGCAAGUCUAGGCCCUCAUCUUUGUGCAGCAAGUGCUUUACUCACAGGUCCACCCCAUGAGGUUUCCCUGUUGUUUGCUUUUCCCCAUUCUUUAUCUGAGAUUCUAUCUAAACUGUAGCUGUUGGGAGGGGCAAGCUUAACUCUUUUUAAUUUUCCUAGCUUAUACCCUUACAAGCUCCAUUUAAGGCUCUUCACAAUUUCACUAGCACAGAGAUACUCCUGAAGGAAACAUUUUAAAUCACUGACUUACAUUUUCAAAAGUAUUUAUUGAGGGCCCACUGUUGUAGGGUACUGUGUAGAUUCUUUGUGUGCAGUCGUGCUUCAUAUGAACUGUUGAGUUUAUAUACUAGCAAGAAUAUGGCAAAUAGAUCUAAUUAAUGAGCACAAGAUAGAAGGCAUUAGAAAACUAUCCAGCAAUUUUAAAAGGUGGGAGCUGCAGGAGGAGAAGCAGGCAUUGGAGGUAGCUGGCUGUGUGCAGUAUGAGACAGUGUUCAAGGGAAGACCUCAUGGACAGAGUGACAGAGGUGCAGAGCAGUCUCUGGGGAUGGGGGUGCACUUGCUUUCUUUGAAAAUGGCCUCUUUAAUUCCUUGGUAAAAGGAUCUCCUGAUGCAGCCAUGAGACUAAUAAUCCCAAAUGCACUAAGAAAAUUUUCUUCCAAGGAGGCUUGCCUCCUGGGUCAUGUUUUAAUACUGUUUUGCCAAUCCAAUUUGUGAAUUGGUUCACUGGUCUUAAGUUUAAAAUGUAGGUCAUCUGGAAGUCUAGCAGUUGGGUCAUGGUUCAGUAACUUUCUUAAGCCUCUGUUGUGGUACUGAAAGUGAAUGAAGGCAGUGUUCCAAAAAAGGAAAAAAAAAAAAAAAACAAAGGGAAAAAAACCCAAACAGAUGGCUGUGUCCUUUAUCAUUGUGGCUAUUUGUACACAGAUAGAAUGCUCUAUGUCUUUCAGCUCUGUGUUUUGAAUUACUCACGGUAAAGAUAUUUUUGAGCACCUAUAUUGCAUACACUUAUAGAUGUGUACAAAGAUUUGAAAGUCAUAGGCCUUAGGGUGAGUUCAUGUCUAGAGUAAGUAGAUACUGGUUAUAUUUAUUUCUGGUGUGCAGUUAAAUGUGACCUGUGAGACAGAAAUCCAAUGUCAUGAAAAUAAGAGAACCAAGCAAAAUAAAUGGGAGGUCCAGAAGAGACACUGUGAAGAAGAAGGUGCCUGACAAAGUUUUCAGGGGUUGGGAUGGGGGCCAGAUCUUCAGAAAAGACAGCUGGGAGGACAUUCUCAGAAGCCAAAAGAGGGACAGAAGAACAGGUAUGAACAGUUGUCCAGAGGCACUUCAGAGGUAACAGUGAGUCUAAGUGCACAUCCUGGAAGCAUGGCCAUCGUUCCCAGGGAGAAAUGUUCCCAGCAUGGAGGCUGCUAUGCCACAUUUCUCCUGUGCUCUAGUAUCAAUUCUGGUAGGUAGGGCAGCAGAGAGAAAGGUUCUGUUGCUGUGUGGGAGAACUGAUCACAAUAUUCUUCUGAACUAGAUUUAUGUUCUUUACUUGAAGAUUCCCGUUCUGUUCCUUACUGGCAUGAAACCUCCUUCCCACAGUGUUCACCCGACCCUUAUUAAAAUGAGAAAAUCUGCAAAGAUGCAUUGCUAUCCACUCUCCCAGUAUGAAGCCUACCACCUCCCAUGCCUCCUUGAUGACACGCUAGGACUGUUACAUUUUAUCCUAGAAUUGUGGUCUAACCUUUCUCUUAAAAAUUAUUUCUAAAGCAUUUUAUACAUUUUUAAUUAAAAUAGAAUUAUAUCACCUUCUCCCUUCACUUCCUCCCUCUAGCCCCUUCCCUGUACCCUCUCUCCAACCCUCUCUAUGACUCCUCUCCCAUCAAAUUGAUUACUAUUGUUUUACACACAUACACACACACACAAAUAAAAUCUGCUGACUCCGUUUUUGUUGUUUGUGUGUACAUGGUUUUAGAACUCAACAUUUUUUUUUGUAUUGGACAACUAAUUAGGGGCCACAUGCCUGGGAGGGUCUAACUCUUUAUCUCUCAGCAGUAACUGGUUGGUUAUAGUUCCUUGUCAAGGGUGUGACCCCAUGAGAUUUUCCUCUUAUAGUGUUAGCAUGUCUAUUACACUGCCUUGGUGCAGGUCUUGUUUAUGCAGCCAUUUCUUUGAGAGACUGUCCCACAAAAGACUCCCUGGUAUUCUGGCUUUUAUAAUCUUUCUGACCGCUCUUUCAUGGUGUUCCCUGAGUCAUAAAUGUGGGAGCUGUGAUGUCUAUGUAUUCACUGGGCUGGGUUCCCAUGAUCCAUUAAUCUCUGUGUUGUGUUCAGUUUUGGUUUUCUGUGAUGGUCUGCAUUUGGUGCAAAGAGAAGCUUCAUUGAUGGGGGGGGGGUGAGUCCACACUAUCUGUGGUAUAAGGACAAGAUUUAGAUUGCAGUAAGGAAUUAUGCUGGUCUAGCAAACUGGUGGUUGUUACGAUAAAUCUUUCUGCCAAAAGCCGCUGAGCCCCACCGCCACGUGUAAGCUUUAUGGCAGCCGCCUGCCCAAGUUAGGCCCAAAUGAAUACACAGAGAGACUUGUAUUAGUUACAAUGCUGCUUGGCCAAUGACUAGGAUUCUCAUCUGUUAGCUCAGUAUCAAUCAUCAUACAUCUAUAUAUUUUAUAAGACUUAUCUUAUCGGACGCCUUAUUGGCGCCCCUCCUAGCUGGUGGAUCACAUCUUGCCGCUGGAGCAGGAGCCGAGGGGAAAGAGAGCAACACUUCCUUUUUCCUCUUCUUAAAUAUGAGUCUCCUUGCUAUGUCACUUCCUGUCUGGAACACCACUUCUCUACUACAUUUCCCAGAAUCCUCUUUGACUCCUAGUCCAGCCUAACCUGCUGUCUCAUUGGCCAAGCAAGUACUUUAUUUAUAAACAUACACAGAAG